UACGUAGGGUGCGAGCGUUGUCCGGAAUUAUUGGGCGUAAAGGGCUCGUAGGCGGUCCGUCACGUCGGGAGUGAAAACUCGGGGCUCAACCCCGAGCCUGCUUUCGAUACGGGCGGACUAGAGGUAGGUAGGGGAGAACGGAAUUCCUGGUGUAGCGGUGGAAUGCGCAGAUAUCAGGAGGAACACCGGUGGCGAAGGCGGUUCUCUGGGCCUUACCUGACGCUGAGGAGCGAAAGCGUGGGGAGCGAACAGG
This 253-nucleotide ribosomal RNA is filed under the name uncultured bacterium. Its description in RNAcentral is "partial 16S ribosomal RNA". It matches the Rfam family "Bacterial small subunit ribosomal RNA", at positions 524 to 776 of the family's 1533-position model. The record is from RNAcentral.